This is a long non-coding RNA of Centrocercus urophasianus (Greater sage-grouse), 1376 nucleotides long. RefSeq lists it as uncharacterized. The record is from RefSeq and is a predicted model, not a curated record. Lineage: Eukaryota; Metazoa; Chordata; Aves; Galliformes; Phasianidae. The transcript is spliced from 4 exons.
UUUUUAAAAAGAGUGACAAAUUUAUUUUUAGACUCUAUGUUAAAAAGAUUUAAGCUUACUCUGCAUCACCUUGUUGUAUAAUACCUUCAACAGACAGAUAGUGUGAGUGCAGCCCAGCUCAGCUGGCUUCAACCCCCGUAUCAAUGUAUGAAUUUACUUAAAUACUGUUAAACUAUUUGAAGUGGUCAUGUGGGUAGAAGUGCUGCCGUUGAACUUUACUGUGACCAACCAGCACGCGUUGGCCCAGUGAAAUGCAUUUUCCUUAAUUACCUUAAUAAGAUGUUGCAGCAGAUUUAAGCAAGUGCUAAGAUUGGCCUUAGAGCUGCUGCCCACCUGACUCGGCUUACCUGCUCCAGCAGAAUUGGCUUCAGUUGCUCAUGUGCCCCAGUGCCUUCCAGAAUGAAAGAAAGUUAUCCCAUGGUGAGAUGCUACAAAGGUACUUGUCCCUGCACAGUCAAAAUAGAUAAAAAUACUUGUUUAACUUUUUAUGUUACAUUUGGGAUUCUACUAUGCAGCAUUGAUAUUUCAGGUAGGAUAUUAGGAAAAACUUCUAAAGAGUGGUGAAGUGCUGGAACAGGCUGCCUGGGGAGGUGGUUGAGUCACUGUCUCUGGAGGUGCUCAGAAAACCUGUAGGUAUGCUACUGAGAGAUAUGGGUUAGUGGGCAAAUAUUGGCAGAAGGUGGAUGGCUGGACUGGACAGUCUUGGAGGAUUUUUUCAAUCUUUCUGAUUCUAUGAUUCUAUGUUUUUAUUGUGAGCGGAGCUACACAGCUGUGGAAUACUUCAGAGGAGGAACAUGAAGCAAAAUUCAGCCUUUACUGAAGAGCAGAAAAGGAGAUUUUGUAGUUUGGAAAGAGUAACAAUGAAAUCAGGAUUCUGCCCAUCAGUGAAACUGAAUGCAUCCAGUAAUGGAAAAUGUAUGGCUCCCUGUCCCUGGGCACUGGGCCAGCCCAGCAUGGUUGGUGCACACUCAGUCCAAAGUCUCAGAGCCUGCAGUCUAGUGAAGGUCUUCUCACCUCUGCCUUAAGAACUACAGCACGCUCAAGACUUCAGCAUGAAUAAUGCACUUUGGGGAAUGCUCUGCAGAAAGUAAUUAAUGAGCCUGGCUUUCAUUCCCGAUUUUUUUCUCCAAAUCUGCCAGACUCCAAAUGUCCAAGAACUGAGUGAGUGUGGAAAAAAAUCUUGAAAGAGCUGCCAAGGAAAUCACGGGCCAUUGUGUCCCAGGAGAUGCUUGUGGGUGAAAACUUAUCACAGAGAGAAGCUUUUCCCGCACUAAGGCCCCAUGGAGAGAAGGUCUGCCUGCCUCUGGCACUCCUAGCCCUAGAAUAUCAAACACUUUGACAGUCAGCAGAAAGUUCACCUUCAGACAGUUCUUAAA